CCCGACUGCUAUCAGAAUGAGAUUAAGCCAUGCGAGUCAACGUAGCAAUACGUGGCACACGGCUCAGUAACACGUAGUCAACAUAACCAGAGGACGUGGAUAAACUCGGGAAACUGAGGCUAAACCGCGAUAGACCAAGAUACCUGGAAUGGUUUUUGAUCAAAAUCUAUAUGGCCCUUGGAUUGGACUGCGUCCGAUCAGGCUGUUGGUGAGGUAAUGGCCCACCAAACCUAUAACCGGUACGGGCUCUGAGAGGAGGAGCCCGGAGAUGGGUACUGAGACAAGGACCCAGGCCCUAUGGGGCGCAGCAGGCGCGAAACCUCUGCAAUAGGCGAAAGCCUGACAGGGUUACUCUGAGUGAUUCCCGCUAAGGGAAUCUUUUGGCAUCUCUAAAAAUGGUGCAGAAUAAGGGGUGGGCAAGUCUGGUGUCAGCCGCCGCGGUAAUACCAGCACCCCGAGUGGUCGGGACGAUUAUUGGGCCUAAAGCAUCCGUAGCCGGUCUUGCAAGUCUUCCGUUAAAUCCAGCUGCUUAACAGAUGGGCUGCGGAGGAUACUACAAGGCUAGGAGGCGGGAGAGGCAAGCGGUACUCAGUGGGUAGGGGUAAAAUCCUCUGAUCCAUUGAAGACCACCAGUGGCGAAGGCGGCUUGCCAGAACGUGCUCGACGGUGAGGGAUGAAAGCUGGGGGAGCAAACCGGAUUAGAUACCCGGGUAGUCCCAGCUGUAAACGAUGCAGACUCGGUGAUGGGCCGGCUUUAUGCCGGCUCAGUGCCGCAGGGAAGCCGUUAAGUCUGCCGCCUGGGGAGUACGGUCGCAAGACUGAAACUUAAAGGAAUUGGCGGGGGAGCACCACAAGGGGUGAAGCCUGCGGUUC
This 873-nucleotide ribosomal RNA is filed under the name uncultured crenarchaeote. RNAcentral describes it as "bacterial SSU rRNA". It matches the Rfam family "Archaeal small subunit ribosomal RNA", at positions 21 to 903 of the family's 1478-position model. The record is from RNAcentral. Lineage: Archaea; Thermoproteati; Thermoproteota.